Molecule: ribosomal RNA, 102 nt
Filed under: Cyrtochilum weirii
Lineage: Eukaryota; Viridiplantae; Streptophyta; Magnoliopsida; Asparagales; Orchidaceae
Description: partial 18S ribosomal RNA
Rfam family: Eukaryotic small subunit ribosomal RNA
Source: RNAcentral
UCGCCGCCCGUGACUCGGCGAGAAGUCCAUUGAACCUUAUCAUUUAGAGGAAGGAGAAGUCGUAACAAGGUUUCCGUAGGUGAACCUGCGGAAGGAUCNUUG